AUUGAACGCUGGCGGCAUGCUUUACACAUGCAAGUCGAACGGGCUUAGGGGCUUGCUCCUAAGUUAGUGGCGAACGGGUGAGUAAUACAUCGGAACGUACCGUGUAGUGGGGGAUAACGUAGCGAAAGUUACGCUAAUACCGCAUACGAUCUACGGAUGAAAGUGGGGGGACCCUUCGGGCCUCACGCUAUACGAGCGGCCGAUGUCUGAUUAGCUAGUUGGUGAGGUAAAGGCUCACCAAGGCAACGAUCAGUAGCGGGUCUGAGAGGAUGAUCCGCCACACUGGGACUGAGACACGGCCCAGACUCCUACGGGAGGCAGCAGUGGGGGAAUUUUGGACAAUGGGCGAAAGCCUGAUCCAGCCAUGCCGCGUGUCUGAAGAAGGCCUUCGGUUGUAAGGACUUUAGUCUAGGGAGCGAAAACUUAGAGGUUAAUAACCUUUGAGGUUGAGAGUACCUGAAGAA
This 464-nucleotide ribosomal RNA is filed under the name uncultured bacterium. RNAcentral describes it as "bacterial SSU rRNA". It matches the Rfam family "Bacterial small subunit ribosomal RNA", at positions 30 to 486 of the family's 1533-position model. The record is from RNAcentral.